RNAcentral lists this ribosomal RNA (2901 nucleotides) under Escherichia coli. Its description in RNAcentral is "bacterial LSU rRNA". It matches the Rfam family "Bacterial large subunit ribosomal RNA". Lineage: Bacteria; Pseudomonadati; Pseudomonadota; Gammaproteobacteria; Enterobacterales; Enterobacteriaceae. The record is from RNAcentral.
UUAAGCGACUAAGCGUACACGGUGGAUGCCCUGGCAGUCAGAGGCGAUGAAGGACGUGCUAAUCUGCGAUAAGCGUCGGUAAGGUGAUAUGAACCGUUAUAACCGGCGAUUUCCGAAUGGGGAAACCCAGUGUGUUUCGACACACUAUCAUUAACUGAAUUCAUAGGUUAAUGAGGCGAACCGGGGGAACUGAAACAUCUAAGUACCCCGAGGAAAAGAAAUCAACCGAGAUUCCCCCAGUAGCGGCGAGCGAACGGGGAGCAGCCCAGAGCCUGAAUCAGUGUGUGUGUUAGUGGAAGCGUCUGGAAAGGCGCGCGAUACAGGGUGACAGCCCCGUACACAAAAAUGCACAUGCUGUGAGCUCGAUGAGUAGGGCGGGACACGUGGUAUCCUGUCUGAAUAUGGGGGGACCAUCCUCCAAGGCUAAAUACUCCUGACUGACCGAUAGUGAACCAGUACCGUGAGGGAAAGGCGAAAAGAACCCCGGCGAGGGGAGUGAAAAAGAACCUGAAACCGUGUACGUACAAGCAGUGGGAGCACGCUUAGGCGUGUGACUGCGUACCUUUUGUAUAAUGGGUCAGCGACUUAUAUUCUGUAGCAAGGUUAACCGAAUAGGGGAGCCGAAGGGAAACCGAGUCUUAACUGGGCGUUAAGUUGCAGGGUAUAGACCCGAAACCCGGUGAUCUAGCCAUGGGCAGGUUGAAGGUUGGGUAACACUAACUGGAGGACCGAACCGACUAAUGUUGAAAAAUUAGCGGAUGACUUGUGGCUGGGGGUGAAAGGCCAAUCAAACCGGGAGAUAGCUGGUUCUCCCCGAAAGCUAUUUAGGUAGCGCCUCGUGAAUUCAUCUCCGGGGGUAGAGCACUGUUUCGGCAAGGGGGUCAUCCCGACUUACCAACCCGAUGCAAACUGCGAAUACCGGAGAAUGUUAUCACGGGAGACACACGGCGGGUGCUAACGUCCGUCGUGAAGAGGGAAACAACCCAGACCGCCAGCUAAGGUCCCAAAGUCAUGGUUAAGUGGGAAACGAUGUGGGAAGGCCCAGACAGCCAGGAUGUUGGCUUAGAAGCAGCCAUCAUUUAAAGAAAGCGUAAUAGCUCACUGGUCGAGUCGGCCUGCGCGGAAGAUGUAACGGGGCUAAACCAUGCACCGAAGCUGCGGCAGCGACGCUGAUGCGUUGUUGGGUAGGGGAGCGUUCUGUAAGCCUGCGAAGGUGUGCUGUGAGGCAUGCUGGAGGUAUCAGAAGUGCGAAUGCUGACAUAAGUAACGAUAAAGCGGGUGAAAAGCCCGCUCGCCGGAAGACCAAGGGUUCCUGUCCAACGUUAAUCGGGGCAGGGUGAGUCGACCCCUAAGGCGAGGCCGAAAGGCGUAGUCGAUGGGAAACAGGUUAAUAUUCCUGUACUUGGUGUUACUGCGAAGGGGGACGGAGAAGGCUAUGUUGGCCGGGCGACGGUUGUCCCGGUUUAAGCGUGUAGGCUGGUUUUCCAGGCAAAUCCGGAAAAUCAAGGCUGAGGCGUGAUGACGAGGCACUACGGUGCUGAAGCAACAAAUGCCCUGCUUCCAGGAAAAGCCUCUAAGCAUCAGGUAACAUCAAAUCGUACCCCAAACCGACACAGGUGGUCAGGUAGAGAAUACCAAGGCGCUUGAGAGAACUCGGGUGAAGGAACUAGGCAAAAUGGUGCCGUAACUUCGGGAGAAGGCACGCUGAUAUGUAGGUGAAGUCCCUUGCGGAUGGAGCUGAAAUCAGUCGAAGAUACCAGCUGGCUGCAACUGUUUAUUAAAAACACAGCACUGUGCAAACACGAAAGUGGACGUAUACGGUGUGACGCCUGCCCGGUGCCGGAAGGUUAAUUGAUGGGGUCAGCGCAAGCGAAGCUCUUGAUCGAAGCCCCGGUAAACGGCGGCCGUAACUAUAACGGUCCUAAGGUAGCGAAAUUCCUUGUCGGGUAAGUUCCGACCUGCACGAAUGGCGUAAUGAUGGCCAGGCUGUCUCCACCCGAGACUCAGUGAAAUUGAACUCGCUGUGAAGAUGCAGUGUACCCGCGGCAAGACGGAAAGACCCCGUGAACCUUUACUAUAGCUUGACACUGAACAUUGAGCCUUGAUGUGUAGGAUAGGUGGGAGGCUUUGAAGUGUGGACGCCAGUCUGCAUGGAGCCGACCUUGAAAUACCACCCUUUAAUGUUUGAUGUUCUAACGUGGACCCGUGAUCCGGGUUGCGGACAGUGUCUGGUGGGUAGUUUGACUGGGGCGGUCUCCUCCUAAAGAGUAACGGAGGAGCACGAAGGUUGGCUAAUCCUGGUCGGACAUCAGGAGGUUAGUGCAAUGGCAUAAGCCAGCUUGACUGCGAGCGUGACGGCGCGAGCAGGUGCGAAAGCAGGUCAUAGUGAUCCGGUGGUUCUGAAUGGAAGGGCCAUCGCUCAACGGAUAAAAGGUACUCCGGGGAUAACAGGCUGAUACCGCCCAAGAGUUCAUAUCGACGGCGGUGUUUGGCACCUCGAUGUCGGCUCAUCACAUCCUGGGGCUGAAGUAGGUCCCAAGGGUAUGGCUGUUCGCCAUUUAAAGUGGUACGCGAGCUGGGUUUAGAACGUCGUGAGACAGUUCGGUCCCUAUCUGCCGUGGGCGCUGGAGAACUGAGGGGGGCUGCUCCUAGUACGAGAGGACCGGAGUGGACGCAUCACUGGUGUUCGGGUUGUCAUGCCAAUGGCACUGCCCGGUAGCUAAAUGCGGAAGAGAUAAGUGCUGAAAGCAUCUAAGCACGAAACUUGCCCCGAGAUGAGUUCUCCCUGACCCUUUAAGGGUCCUGAAGGAACGUUGAAGACGACGACGUUGAUAGGCCGGGUGUGUAAGCGCAGCGAUGCGUUGAGCUAACCGGUACUAAUGAACCGUGAGGCUUAACCUU